CAGAGGGGGCAAGCGUUGUUCGGAAUUACUGGGCGUAAAGGGCGCGUAGGCGGCCUUCUAAGUCGAACGUGAAAUCCCCGGGCUCAACCCGGGAACUGCGUCCGAUACUGGAAGGCUCGAAUCCGGGAGAGGGAUGUGGAAUUCCAGGUGUAGCGGUGAAAUGCGUAGAUAUCUGGAGGAACACCGGUGGCGAAGGCGACAUCCUGGACCGGUAUUGACGCUGAGGCGCGAAAGCCAGGGGAGCAAACGGGAUUAGAUACCCCGGUAGUCCUGGCCCUAAACGAUGAAUGCUUGGUGUGGCGGGUAUCGAUCCCUGCCGUGCCGAAGCUAACGCAUUAAGCAUUCCGCCUGGGGAGUACGGUCGCAAGGCUG
Molecule: ribosomal RNA, 372 nt
Filed under: uncultured organism
Description: bacterial SSU rRNA
Rfam family: Bacterial small subunit ribosomal RNA
Source: RNAcentral